UUCGCAAUGCCCGAAAGGGUGACGAAGCGACGCCGCGUGUGGGAAGAAGGCCUUCGGGUUGUAAACCGCUGUCGGGAGUUAGGAAGUGCAAGAAUGUUAAUAGCGUUCUUGCUUGACUAAGGCUCCGGAGGAAGCCACGGCUAACUCUGUGCCAGCAGCCGCGGUAAUACAGAGGCGGCAAGCGUUGUUCGGAAUUAUUGGGCGUAAAGAGCACGUAGGCGGCUAUGUAAGUCGGUUGUGAAAGCCUUCCGCUCAACGGAAGAACAGCAUCCGAUACUACAUGGCUUGAGUGCGGGAGGGGAGAGUGGAACUUCUGGUGGAGCGGUGAAAUGCGUAGAUAUCAGAAGGAACGCCGGCGGCGAAAGCGGCUCUCUGGCCCAUAACUGACGCUGAGUGUGCGAAAGCUAGGGGAGCAAACGGGAUUAGAUACCCCGGUAGUCCUAGCCGUAAACGAUGGGCGCUAAGUAGAGGGGUUUU
RNAcentral lists this ribosomal RNA (477 nucleotides) under uncultured bacterium. Its description in RNAcentral is "bacterial SSU rRNA". It matches the Rfam family "Bacterial small subunit ribosomal RNA", at positions 365 to 832 of the family's 1533-position model. The record is from RNAcentral.